Molecule: long non-coding RNA, 1402 nt
Organism: Salvia splendens (bonfire salvia)
Lineage: Eukaryota; Viridiplantae; Streptophyta; Magnoliopsida; Lamiales; Lamiaceae
Exons: 2
Source: RefSeq, a predicted model, not a curated record
AUUAACACAUACUUCAAAUUAUCCCUUUGCAUACAAAGAAAAACAAAUUUCCUUGAAACCCCUCCAAUGUUUCUUUACACAAAAUACACGGGACUGAUUUAUUCAUAACCUAUCUCAGGUAAACAAAUACUCCCUCCGUCCACGAUUAAUUGACAUAAAUUUCCUUUUCCGUCCGUCCAUAAUUAAUCGACACCCUAACUUUUUACUAUUUUUGAUAAUGGACCUCACAUUGCAUUAACUUAUCACACACAUUUUAUAUAAACUAAUAUACAAAAGUAGAAGUCAUAUUCCACUAACUUUUUAAACUCACUUUAUACUAUAAUCUUUAUACUAUAGUCCUUGUGUCCCACUCUAAGUGGAGCAUUUCUAAUUCGGUACGAGAUUUUAUGUAGUGUUAUUUUGAGAGUAAAUUGCAAAAAAUAAAGUUUCUAUAUUUAGAAAUGUGGCAUUCAGAGUGUCAUCUUCAAAAGGAAAAUGUGUCACUUAGAGUGUGACAGAGGGAGUAUUUCUUAAAACUCGUGCUAAGUCAAAAGGGCUCAAUUAAUCGUGGAUGGAGUGAGUAAUACCAACAAUAAUAAAAUUAAAUAAAAAUUAAACGGAUGUUCUUUCAGUCACAGACUCUAUUAAUAAGAGCAUAAGCACAAUCAAUGGUAAUGACAAAUCACAUUAGGUUAACCACUCCAACAAUAGAAAAACAAACAUAAAGGGGUAAUUCUUUUGUUGUUCUAGAGUAUAAUUAACGUUCCAUAAGUGUACUGGACUUUUUUUUUUGUUCCUGCUUUCGGAGAGACGCAUGAGGGUCAUGUGUCUCCCUUUUAUGAAACGCAUGACGGAGAUGCGUCUUUGGGUAACACGCAUGAGUGAGAUGCGUCGUUUAUUUUUUUAUUUUUUUAAAGACGCAUAAGCAUCAUGCGUCAUAGGGAGAGACGCAUCUUCCACAUGCGUCACCUUUUUUUAAAUAUUUUAUUAGACGACGCAUGACCGUCAUGCGUCUUAGGGAGAGACGCAUGAGGCUCAUGCGUCUCUAAUAUUAAACAAAACAGGCGCGAGGCGAAUCAGUAGCUCACAUUCUGCGCGAGAGAAAGAGGCAGACGCAAACUUAGGCGAUUUCUUGGCAAUUCCGGCGAUUUCUCGUCAUAUUUCGAAAUCAUGUAAGUAUUUGUGAGUUUAUAUUGGGGUAAUAGAAUAGUUCAACUUCCUCAAGUGGGUAUUUGUUAUGAUCCUCCUCGUGCGAGAGCCUCCAUCGUAUUGAAUUCGUGUGUUUCAUUCUCUGAAUUAGUUACAAUGAUAUGUGCUAAGAUAAUAAUAGAUUCAUAUCAACACUCCAUCGAAAUAUCAUAGAGGCAUUAUCUCUUUGGUACCGAUACGAGUUAUAUAUGUACUGGGGUUGACAGUGAUAAAA